GUGGGGAAUUUUGGACAAUGGGGGCAACCCUGAUCCAGCAAUGCCGCGUGCAGGAAGAAGGCCUUCGGGUUGUAAACUGCUUUUGUACGGAACGAAACGGUCUGGGUUAAUACCCUGGGCUAAUGACGGUACCGUAAGAAUAAGCACCGGCUAACUACGUGCCAGCAGCCGCGGUAAUACGUAGGGUGCGAGCGUUAAUCGGAAUUACUGGGCGUAAAGCGUGCGCAGGCGGUUUUGUAAGACAGGCGUGAAAUCCCCGGGCUCAACCUGGGAAUGGCGCUUGUGACUGCAAAGCUGGAGUGCGGCAGAGGGGGAUGGAAUUCCGCGUGUAGCAGUGAAAUGCGUAGAUAUGCGGAGGAACACCGAUGGCGAAGGCAAUCCCCUGGGCCUGCACUGACGCUCAUGCACGAAAGCGUGGGGAGCAAACAGGAUUAGAUACCCGAGUAGUCC
Molecule: ribosomal RNA, 450 nt
Filed under: uncultured bacterium
Lineage: Bacteria
Description: partial 16S ribosomal RNA
Rfam family: Bacterial small subunit ribosomal RNA
Source: RNAcentral